Molecule: unclassified non-coding RNA, 252 nt
Filed under: Hevea brasiliensis (rubber tree)
Lineage: Eukaryota; Viridiplantae; Streptophyta; Magnoliopsida; Malpighiales; Euphorbiaceae
Source: RNAcentral
UCCGUCUACCGCUGCUGCUCGUCUUUCUUUGUUAAGGAGCCAUGGCACAAGACACAGGCAUGUUUACCGUGCAUCAUACGAUUGGAAAUGUUUUAUGCUGCAAAUGUGGUAUAAGUAUGCAACCAAAUGCUGCUAAUAUGUGUGCUAACUGCUUAAGGUCUGAAAUUGACAUAACAGAAGGUCUUCAGAAGCAUGUUAUCAUAUGCCAUUGCCCUGAAUGUGAUAGCUAUUUGCAACCUCCAAGGACUUGGA